This is a non-coding RNA of Triticum aestivum (bread wheat), 134 nucleotides long. NCBI's taxonomy places the organism in Eukaryota, Viridiplantae, Streptophyta, Magnoliopsida, Poales, Poaceae. The record is from Rfam.
AUUAUACUCCCUCCAUCCGAAAAUACUUGUCAUCAAAAUGGACAAAAAGGGAUGUAUCUAAAACUAAAAUACAUCUAGAUACAUCUCUUUUAUCCAUUUUGGUGACAAGUAUUUCCAUACGGAGGGAGUAUAUA